GUGAAUCAUCGAAUUUUUGAACGCAUAUUGCGCUUUCUGGCAUCUCGGGAAGUAUGCCUGUUUGAGGGUCAGUAUUAAUAAUAAAUCGGUUUAGUUACAAAUUGUGUCGUUUUCGGAGUUUGGGUUAUCUUAAUAUUUUUGGUUAAGAGGCUUAAAAUUGACCUUUUUUGCGCUGUUUUAAUCGUACAUAAAUUUUUUUAAUUAGUCUAUUCUUAAUGCCAAAAUA
This 226-nucleotide unclassified non-coding RNA is filed under the name Glomeraceae sp. Its description in RNAcentral is "partial contains 5.8S ribosomal RNA and internal transcribed spacer 2". The stretch from base 1 to 71 matches the Rfam family "5.8S ribosomal RNA", at positions 84 to 154 of the family's 154-position model. The record is from RNAcentral. Lineage: Eukaryota; Fungi; Glomeromycota; Glomeromycetes; Glomerales; Glomeraceae.